GUAUUUUGGAACACCGCUGUGCUGCUUUUUUAUUUUUUUCCCUCUGUAUCUUCAUUAGAAUUUCGGGGUUUAUUUUUGCAUAUAGUUCAGAGAGUUAUUGCACGUUUCUUGAAUAAAGAAUUCUCUCUUAAAAUAUUAAAGACUUGCUUCCAAAGUGCUCGGUUCUGUGUGCAUCUCAAAUCACAAGACUGCUGAGAAGGGAAACUUUUCAAACACUGAUCUGGAAGUUCUGCUGUGCUGCUUUGCCUUCCUGUCCUUUCAGUCUGGCAAAUUGUGAGCUGCAAGUCCAGCAGAGGUUUUGGAAUCAUUGUAAUUUAAACUUGGGUGUUUGCUCUUUCUCCUGUGGAACAACACAGAUAUUUAAAGAAAUGGGCAGUCUGUAUCAUGUGGUGACAUAAAUAUCAAGACAGAGUGUUUCUGUUCUGUUCCCCACAGGAUAUGACAGGAAGCAGGAGGUUUGAGGUGGGGACAUCUCUCUGCUGCAGCUGCAAUGCAAGAAAGGCUGACCCAAGUCACACCAAAAGUCCAGUUUAUGCUACUUGUCAGCAUUUCUCCUUUUGGACAGAAGCAGAAAAUAACAGUGUUCCACGAGUGAAUGCACAAGUGGACUUCACAAAAUCACUGGGCUGUUUGCAGUGGGUAUCUAGAAAUUCAACCUUGUGGUACUUUGAUGUGCAUUAA
Molecule: long non-coding RNA, 681 nt
Filed under: Zonotrichia albicollis (white-throated sparrow)
Lineage: Eukaryota; Metazoa; Chordata; Aves; Passeriformes; Passerellidae
Description: lncRNA (ENSZALG00000014366.1)
Source: RNAcentral